AACAUCAUAACUCGGCAAUGGCAAGUCUCUUGUUUUUUAUUGACUAUAUAUGGAGCUGUGUUAGUCAAAUUUCAUUUGCAAACAGAGUGAAAAAAUAACAGAGAGAACUAGCUAUUUUCUAGCAAUGGCAAGUCUCUUGUUUUUUAUUUUUCUCUCAGCAAUUAUCACUACAGAAGCUCAAAAAGGGGAAUCCAUUGUAAACCUUGGCUCUUCUUUAACACCUACCUCCAAGUCUUCAUGGCAGUCACAAUCUGGUUUCUAUGCCUUUGGCUUCUACCAACAAGCCAAUGGCUAUGCUGUUGGAGUUUUUUUGGCUGGGAUUCCUGAAAAGACAGUAGUCUGGACAGCCAUCCGAGACAAACUUCCAGCUCUCGCUAGUGUUACAUUGAAUUUCACUAGUGAUGGUAGACUCAUCAUGCAAUCAGCACAAGGCGAAGAGACGGCCAUUGCCAAUCCUCCUGAACGUGCAGCAUCAGCAUCAAUGCUUGAUUCGGGAAACUUUGUUCUCUAUAAUUCGGAUAAGAAGAUUAUAUGGCAAAGUUUUGAAUCCCCAACGAAUACCCUCUUACAAGGUCAGCGACUCACAGCUGGCAAAGAGUUGUUUUCAAGUGUUUCAGAAUCUGAUCAAUCGACAGGAAUAUUUCGCCUGAAAAUGCAGACGGAUGGAAACCUUGUGCAGUACCCAGUGCAAACCGCAGAUACGAGUGAAUAUGCUUAUUGGGCUUCUGGAACAGAUGGAAAAGGCAGUAAUGUUUCACUAUGUCUGGAUGAUGAUGGUCAUCUUUACUUGCUCAAUUCCACCGGCACAAUCUUAAAUAAUCUGACUCAUGGCGGAUAUCCAACAAAAGAUGUAGUGUAUUUUAUGCGAAUUGAUGUCGACGGGAUCUUCAGGCUAUUCUCACACAAUUUGCAUAAGAAUGGGAAUUUCUCAGUCAUAUGGUCAUCUUCCGAUAAUAAGUGUGACCCUAAGGGCCUGUGUGGUCUCAAUGGGUUUUGCACUAUGAUAGAUCAGGAUGCUAAUUGCUUGUGUCUUCCAGGUUUUGCAAGUGUUAUCGAGGGAAAUUGGAGCUCAGGUUGUGAAAGGAAUUUCACUGCAGAAAGUUGCAAGAGCAAAGAUGUAAGUAUGAAAUAUAUCAUGCAAGCAGUACCUAAUACUGUAUGGGAAGAUAAUUCUUUUUCUUCCCUAACAAUAUUGACCAAAGACGAUUGUGAAGCAGCAUGUUUGAAGGAUUGUAAUUGUGAAGCCGCUACAUACAAAGAUGGAGUUUGUCGAAAGCAAAAGCUUCCAUUGAGAUAUGGAAAAAGGGUACUAAGUGAUGAUAACAUUGCAUUCAUCAAGGAAGCUAUAUCUACUUCCACCAUAAAUAAAAUUGAGCCCUUGGGACGUGAAAAAUAUUCUCAGAAGGGCAUAAUGAUUCUGGGCAUCUCACUUGGUGCUUUUGGACUUAUUAUGUCAGUGAUUUCUGCAAUUGCAAUUUAUAAAAAUCGAGUCCGAGCAUAUAGAAGGCUCUCUAAUAGUGGAAAUGUUGAUUUAACCAUGGAUGUUUCUCCAAGAUCAUUUACUUAUUCUGAUCUUGAGAAAAUGACUAAUGGUUUCAAGGAAGAGCUGGGUAGAGGAUCAUUUGGGACUGUUUACAAGGGAACAAUAUGGAAUGGUCAGAAGAUCGUAGCCGUCAAAAGACUAGAGAAAGUGUUGACUGAGGGGGAGAGAGAGUUUCAAACCGAGAUGAAAGUUAUUGGAAGAACACACCACAAGAACCUUGUCCGUCUGCUUGGGUAUUGUCAUGAUGGAGAGAAUAGGCUUUUGGUAUAUGAGUACAUGAGCAAUGGCUCACUUGCAGAUAUACUCUUCAAUCCUGAAAAAAAAACUUUGUUGGGAUGAAAGAAUAGAAAUUGCUCGCAACAUAGCAAAGGGAAUUCUUUAUCUCCAUGAAGAGUGCGAGUCACAAAUCAUUCAUUGUGACAUAAAGCCUCAAAACAUACUCAUGGAUGAAUAUAGGUGCCCAAAAAUCUCUGAUUUUGGAUUGGCAAAGCUACUAAAGCCAGACCAAACCAAUACCUUUACAGGUAUCCGAGGAACAAAAGGGUAUGUUGCACCAGAAUGGCAUCGAAACCAACCAGUGACAGUUAAAGCAGAUGUAUACAGCUUCGGAAUUGUUCUGUUGGAGCUUAUAUGUUGUAGAAAGAGUGUGGAUUGGAGUUUUCCUGAAGAAGAAGCUAUUCUUGAAGAAUGGGCAUACUCUUGCUUUGAGGCUCAUGAGCUAGAUAAACUAGUUAGUGGUAAGGAUGUUGACAAAAGGCAAUUGGAGAGAAUAGUUAAAGUGGGACUUUGGUGCAUUCUUGAUGAGCCAUCUCUUCGUCCUUCAAUGAAAAAGGUUCUGCUAAUGCUGGAAGGGACUGUAGAUGUCCCAAUCCCUCCAAGUCCAACUUCUUUUCUUAGUACCGUAUAAAAUGUGUUUGUAAUUUUUUUUUCUUAGGAAAUGUUAUAGAGGGGAUUUGAGCUGGAUAUGUUCCUUCAUUAAACAAGUGUUAGUACUCAGCUAGUCUUUUAAGGCCAAUGGCAAAAUGUGGUUGUACUUCAAAACCCAAAUAUGGGAUGGUUUGCAAGAAUAAUUGGCACAACAAUAUUGUUAAGAUUCUUUGUGCUACACGCCCAUAGUAUUAUUGGAUAUCGGACUAUCUCAACUUCAAAUGCUAUUAAAUAUAUGUAUAUGUCAGUGGCCCUUGGCUUGAGCGAGGGAAUGACUCCGCAUACUUCCGUUGAGAGAGGAGAAAAAAAAUGUUCCUAAAAAGAUAAAAAUCAAAUGCUUUAUUUUUUAUUUUUUCCUUAAGAUACAAGUAGG
RNA transcript from Quercus lobata, 2843 nucleotides. It is a transcript of the gene named G-type lectin S-receptor-like serine/threonine-protein kinase LECRK3, with no coding region annotated. The transcript has a single exon. Lineage: Eukaryota; Viridiplantae; Streptophyta; Magnoliopsida; Fagales; Fagaceae. The record is from RefSeq and is a predicted model, not a curated record.